Long non-coding RNA from Megalobrama amblycephala (Wuchang bream), 1437 nucleotides. RefSeq lists it as uncharacterized. The transcript is spliced from 7 exons. The record is from RefSeq and is a predicted model, not a curated record. Lineage: Eukaryota; Metazoa; Chordata; Actinopteri; Cypriniformes; Xenocyprididae.
GGUUUAAAGUCCCCCUGGGCAAUAAUUUUAUCCCUUAAAACUCAUCUUUCAUCACCAAAAUGACAUAUUUAAAGUUUUUUUCCCCUGUGAAAUAGCUUGAAUGUAACUCUAGUCUACACCCUUGCUUUAUUUAGUAGCUUAUUCAUCUAUGAAUAUGCUGAUUAGCCCCGCCUCCACUCACUCGCACGAGCUCGAGAGAUCCACUGAACUGAGGUAAACGCUGCACAAUGCUGUCGUCUUUUACAACGUCGGAGUCGGACACAUAACGAAAAAUAUACCGGGAUAACCUGGCUUCUCUUAAGACUCCCCUGCUUCAGAGCGACUGUGUGGAACUUCAACCAUGAAAUGCAUAAAGAAGUAUGACACAUUGAAUAAGAGCCCAUUACAAGCGGUAAAUUUUAUUAUGGGAUAACAGCACAUAAAGCACAUCUAAAAUCGAUGUGUCAAAUGCACUUUUAAUAAAGCGGUAUUUACAAAAUGAAUCAAAAUACUUAUUUUCAUAUUUAAGAAUCAGACAAACAGAAGGAGCAAAACCACUAUUGAGAAGAGACUAUCUCCUAAAGAGAGUUCCAAAGAGCUGAAUAAAAAGGUAAGCAGGAGAAAAAUCCAUCCCGUCCUGCCCCAGCCCUUGUGCCUCCCCUUCAGCUCAACAAGAAAUAGAAAACAUGUUGGAGGGCCAGCUGGAUCUUCUGCUGGAGUUUCUCCACCUUCACCUUCUCCUGGAGCCAGGACCGGUCUAAACACAGAUUUUCAGAUGCCUUUAGCAUUGGUGCUCUCCAAUGGAAAAUGAGCCGGGCUUACCUGCAGACAUCAACACGAAGGCGGAGAACAGGGCGAUCUCGUCUUCAGAGAGGUGCAUAGAACACAAGUUUUUCCCAAACUCGAAGACAGAGCUGAUCAAGUCGUCGCAGCCUGUCACCGUGGAGACGGAAAGAAAAAGUCGGUAAAAAAAAACUGUGAGACGGAGCAGUAGACAGCGUCGGGUAGACACUUGAUCUUUUAGCAUGAGAUGUCGGGGUGGCACAGAGGUAAAAAACAAUACAAUCCUUCAGCAUAACAGAAUGAUUUUUCCCGCCAUGGGUUUUUCCCCUCCAGGCUAAUCAUGCUUUGGCGAAUGAGAGGGGUUAUGUAAGCAUGACUGGGGUCACUAACAAGACUGGAUAAAAGCCAUGACUCAGAGCUCGCACAAACACUGGGAGAUCGUCUACAGCAGCACUUCUCAAACUUUCCAAGCCAAGCACCACCUAGAGGGAAUGUUCCCUCUAAUUUUGUCUUUCAUUUUGAAUGCAAGCAUUAGGACAGGGACAUAAUAUAAAUGUAGAAGGAUCACACUAAAUCGAAACACAAUAUGCAUGAAUAUACACAAUUUUCAGAAUAAAAAUAUUUUAACAUAUUCAUAUUUUAAGAAAUAAACAUAUUUUGGUCUGCCUAAAAGCA